This is a non-coding RNA of Acanthosepion pharaonis, 113 nucleotides long. NCBI's taxonomy places the organism in Eukaryota, Metazoa, Mollusca, Cephalopoda, Sepiida, Sepiidae. The record is from the annotation of a GenBank genome assembly.
CUUGUGGCCAUAUUACAAUGAAACACCAGUUCUUGUAUGAUAACCAAAGUUAAGCAACAUUGAGCCUGAUCAGUACUUACAUGGGUGACUGUUUGGGAAUACCAGGUGCUGAA